Molecule: ribosomal RNA, 253 nt
Filed under: uncultured bacterium
Lineage: Bacteria
Description: partial 16S ribosomal RNA
Rfam family: Bacterial small subunit ribosomal RNA
Source: RNAcentral
UACGUAGGGUGCAGGCGUUAAUCGGAAUUACUGGGCGUAAAGCGUGCGCAGGCGGUUUGUUAAGACAGAUGUGAAAUCCCCGGGCUUAACCUGGGAACUGCGUUUGUAACUGGCAAGCUAGAGUGUGGCAGAGGGGGGUGGAAUUCCAAGUGUAGCAGUGAAAUGCGUAGAUAUUUGGAGGAACACCAAUGGCGAAGGCGGCUCACUGGCCCGGUACUGACGCUGAGGUGCGAAAGCGUGGGGAGCAAACAGG